CGCCCGGAAUUUCCUGGAUGCGCAGGCAGGGCGCUCGACGGAAUGCGUGCGCGAGACGCCGCCGGGCAUGCUCGCCAGCCUCAGCUCCACGUGGGCCACCUCCUCGCCCCUCCCGCUCCCGCCGGCCUCGCGCGUGGGGGGUGUUGACGUCGCCGCGACAGCGACGCGGGCGCGCGGGCGGGCGGUGGGCGAGUGACAGUGGCAGCGGGAGAGAGAUGUCACCCUCAGCUCGUUGUUUUCUUUUCUUUUUCCCUUCUGUUGGACUCGGCCUCCCUAUCGCCGCGCCUCCGCCUUCCCGUCCAUGUCACGCUUUGUUCGCUUCUUUUUCCUCCACCUCCAUCGUUUCUCCCCGUUUCGUCCCCCUUCUAUUCUGUCGGGUCGUCCCUCCGCGGCCGGACGACGGUUCUGCUGAAACAAGGCCAGAAAGUACGGAUCUUUCCUGAACCCGUAGGCUCUGACCUGGAACUGGGAGUUUGGCCAUUGCCUGAUUGGGGACAUUAAGGUGGGGGUUGUCCCCAGUGAGCUCCGCGCCGGUCCCUGCUGUUCUUCCAGUCAAAUACCUGUACCCUUCGAUGCUGAGAUCAAGGAACUAGGGAUACCAAUUAUCUCCAAGAUUCUCCUCUACCUUUCAAGGCUUCCUGAGAAUUUAGAUUCAUCAAACCUUGAUGACAGCUUGAUGUGGAUUUGGUCAGUCACCAGUGGUUUCUGCACAGCUUGAAAAAAACAUUUAUAUCAGCAGGGCGACAUCUUCAUUUUGUGGUAUCUGAGGCUCUCAAAUGGUUUCCAUGUAUAGUGAAUGGGAAAAUAAACAGCAGAUAUAGCUGUGUAGGUGACUAAUUGCUAGUCUAAUCUAUAUAACAUCGUUGAUGACAUUUCCAUCCACAAUUGCAUUUUGCUGAAUUAAAGGACAGUGGAGCAUAUCUGACCUUCCUCAAGUGCAGGGAGAAGGCUCUUGACCCUCCAGAUUAUAAACAUGGGUUGGUUGAGUAAAAUAUUUAAAGGUUCAGUAAAUAGAGUUUCAAGAGGACAUUAUAAUGGGAACUCCCAUGAAGGCUAUUCCACCCAGCACACUAAAUCAUAUGGUGCGCAGGGAAAUGAGGACGAAGACAUGGAUCAUGCUAUUGCAUUAUCCUUAUCAGAGGAAGAUCAAUGGAAGGGAAAGGCCAUUGAUACAGAGCACCACUUAGAUGAAGAUGAACAACUUGCACGGGCUCUGCAAGAAAAUACCGGUCGUACUCUAGAUGAAGACGAACAGCUUGCACGGGCUUUGCAAGAAAGUAUGAACGAUGGACCUCCUCCUCGUCGGAAUAUUCCGAUUGAAGAUGUUCACUCAGGAAGUGCUCCAGCAAGUAGCUUGCCCCCAAAUGUUUUCCCCACAAGUGGAUUGAGGGUUUGUGCUGGAUGCAAAACUCCAAUUGGUCAUGGACGGUUUCUCAGUUGUAUGGACUCUGUUUGGCACCCCCAGUGCUUCAGGUGUCAUGCUUGCGAUAGACCAAUAUCAGAGUAUGAGGUAUAAAAUCGAGAACGUCCCUGACAUAACAUCCUUCAACAUCACAAGAUAAUUAAUGCAAACCUUUCUUUUUGGAAGUUUGCUGUUCAUGAAGACCAUGCGUACCACAGGUCCUGCUACAAGGAGCGGUUCCAUCCUAAAUGUGAUGUUUGCAAUAGCUUUAUUCCCACAAAUAAAAAUGGCCUCAUUGAGUACCGGGCUCAUCCUUUCUGGAUGCAGAAGUAUUGCCCUUCCCAUGAAAAUGAUGGUACACCUAGGUGCUGCAGUUGUGAGCGAAUGGAGCCAAAGCAUAGUCAAUAUAUAGCAUUAGAUGAUGGCCGGAGACUCUGCUUGGAGUGUCUGCAUACUGCAAUUAUGGACACCAAUGAGUGCCAGCCACUAUACAUUGAUAUUCAAGAAUUUUACGAGGGUAUGAACAUGAAAGUAGAACAACAAGUUCCCUUGCUUUUGGUUGAGCGACAAGCUUUAAAUGAAGCUAUGGAAGCAGAGAAAAUGGGACACCACCUUCCUGAAACCAGAGGUCUCUGCCUAUCUGAAGAACAGAUUGUCAAAACUAUAUUAAAAAGACCAAUGAUUGGACCAGGCAACAAAAUCAUAGAUAUGAUCACAGGACCUUACAAACUCGUUCGGCGAUGUGAAGUGACUGCAAUUCUUAUACUGUAUGGGUUGCCAAGGCUGCUAACUGGCUCAAUUCUAGCUCAUGAGAUGAUGCAUGCCUACCUACGACUUAAAGGAUACCGAACCCUGACUCCAGAGGUUGAAGAAGGCAUCUGUCAGGUUCUAGCUCAUCUGUGGCUUGAGUCAGAAAUCACAUCAGGUUCCGCUAGCAUGGCAACCACCUUAGCAGCGUCAUCAUCCUCUUCAACAUCCUCAUCAAAAAAAGGUGCAAAGACAGAAUUUGAAAAGAGACUUGGCGAGUUUUUCAAGCACCAGAUUGAGACAGAUUCUUCCAUGGCCUACGGAGAUGGGUUUCGAGCAGGCAUGCGAGCUGUUGAGCGGUAUGGCUUGAGAAGUACCCUUGAUCAUAUCAAGCUGACGGGGUCUUUUCCGUACUGAAGCUGGACUUUUCCCUCAAGUUCAAACUUGGGUAUAGAUUUUUGAGAACUCGUGGUUCCAGUUACAAAUACCAAAGGGUAUAUAUCAUCUACAGUACACGAAGUAUAGGCGAGAAAAGAAAUAAGGAUUUAGUUAUAUGGUCCAUUGCAAAAAAAAUAUUUAUAUUUUUUCCAUUUUAGACAACUAUAAUUGCACCGUUCACACAUGAAUUUAAGUGAUCUUUAGCUUUGACCAGCCAUGUAGAAUGCUAUCACUUAAUGCAAAAGAAAGUCGAACAUAUGCGCUUCCUGUAUUUGAAGUGCAAGUGCUUGCAUGCUCUGCUCUUUUCAGUUUCUUGCUUUUCUUUGUGUCGCGGUAGAUUCCAAUGUUUCGAUAUUUUGUUGGUUUACUGUUACGCUUCAGCUUAGAUUUUUUUCCGAAACAGAUUUGUCAGUUGAAGUCAGUAGGUGUUUUUUCCCUCAUAAUGGUUGUAUGAUGAUACCAAGUUACCAACUUUAUGCUGAAUUCUUGUAAGAGUAAAAUGCACUGUGGGUCCUUAAACUAGUUCUCCUGUUCUGUUUAGGUCCAUGAACUUUGAAAAUGUAUUUCUAGGUCCAGGAUCUAUUUAAGUGAGCCAUUUGAGGUCCAAAACGCCCUUGACCUGCUUUGACUGUCUACGUGGACCGCCAGACCGGCUCUGACGUGGACAUGGCAUCUGACGGAGGCGCAAAAAAAUUGCAAGUACACCCUUCCCUGCUAUAGUAAUGUGUAAUGGCUCCCUUUUAUUUAUCAUCCCCCCUCUGACGGCAAUCUCAUCCUCUAUUCUCUCGUGUUCUUCUCCCCGCUCUCUGCGCCUACCCCUGAGGCCCAGAUUCAUGGCAUGGCUCGCGAAUCCAGUGCAUCGGCGUCGGAGCAGUGGGGUGCGGAUGAGCUUCCGCUCAUCUUUGCACUGAUUGUGGGCUCCGGCAAGUGGUGCGGCGCAGAUUGAAGCAGGAAUGGAGCUUUGGGAAGGUGUUCUACUGCUGCCCGUUGCACAAGCAUGAUGGAAGUGGAUGCCCUUUUUGGUUCUGGGAAGAAGAUUACGUUGUCAAGCUAAGGAGUCUUGGGUUGCUGAAAGGAGGCAGUUCAGCGUAGCUGGAAGGCCCUAUUGUAGCCCCAAGGAUGGAGUUUCUGCAUGCUAGAGAAGGAGAAUGGAAGAAGAAGAAUGCCACUGAAAUAGUUAGGUUGCUAAAGUCAAUAUGUGUUGUAUGUGUAUCUAUUCUGUGUGUGCAAUGUGUGAUGCUGUUGCUCUUAGUGUUUAAGAACUGAACAUGGAAUGUAUGGAAGCUAUUAGCAUGUGUGAACUGAGCAUGAAAUGUAUGGAAUUUGAAGUCUU
Molecule: RNA transcript, 3920 nt
Organism: Panicum virgatum (switchgrass)
Lineage: Eukaryota; Viridiplantae; Streptophyta; Magnoliopsida; Poales; Poaceae
Gene name: protein DA1-related 1-like
Exons: 17
Source: RefSeq, a predicted model, not a curated record